RNAcentral lists this ribosomal RNA (253 nucleotides) under uncultured bacterium. Its description in RNAcentral is "partial 16S ribosomal RNA". It matches the Rfam family "Bacterial small subunit ribosomal RNA", at positions 524 to 776 of the family's 1533-position model. The record is from RNAcentral.
UACGUAGGGGGCAAGCGUUGUCCGGAUUUAUUGGGCGUAAAGGGCGCGUAGGCGGUUUCUUAAGUUUGGAGUGACAGUGGGUGGCUUAACUACCCAAGGCCUCUGAAAACUGGGGAACUUGAGGACCAGAGAGGGACAUAGAAUUCCGGGUGGAGUGGUGAAAUGCGUAGAUAUCCGGAGGAAUACCAAAGGCGAAGGCAGUGUCCUGGAGGGUGACUGACGCUGAGGCGCGAAGGCUAGGGGAGCGAACAGG